Molecule: long non-coding RNA, 1560 nt
Organism: Scomber scombrus (Atlantic mackerel)
Lineage: Eukaryota; Metazoa; Chordata; Actinopteri; Scombriformes; Scombridae
Exons: 4
Source: RefSeq, a predicted model, not a curated record
CGCAUCGUAUCAGCGACAGAGACGCAAGUUGGAGCUCAAGCAGGAACCAUCACUGCGCUGGAUCAUAAAGAGGAACCGAGCUUCUUUUGUUCCUUAUUGGAUGUAAUCACAUUUAUCGAUCUGCUUGAUUUGCCAAAGCACCAAUCUGUUUACGCAGGGAUUCUUUGGACGCAUUAUUAAUGCAACCGUUACAACACUGACACACGUGGAGGAGUUAUUAUUAUUAUUAUUAUUGGACAACUGGAUCAUAAUGGCAACAGCUAACGGAUUUAACACUACAGCUGUGGAUCUUGUAGGAUAUAAGGAAAUCUCUUGCACGGAAUGCGUGCUGUCCAUCUGCAGUUACUCAUGCUACCCAAGUCCUGCUCCUGGACAAGUCUUUUGUCAGACAGCCUCUUGGGAUACUUUACCCGUGUUCAAGUGUGGCCAGAGUCAUAGACGGUCAGUACAAUGAUAUGCUUUUGGAAAAUCGGUAUUUGCUGUUGCGGAUUUUGACACAAGGAAUGGAAUAUCCCUGGAUAUUUUUGGUGCUCAGCAGAUGCAGCGUUUUGGAUAAUGUCAUCUCCUGAUCCAGCAGUGUAGGGAUCCAAAUUCCGGGAAUGAGGUGUCAACCCAUAAUUGCUUCCCGGGGAUCUUAUGAUGAUCUCAGGUGAGCGCCUGGAAGAAGCUGACUAAUGGAAACAUGAUCUCAAGAGAUUCAACAGGAUCAUACUAAAUCGUGGUUGGGACUGCAGGCCAGCAUUCCCUGUAGCAGAUGUUUGCUCCUGGCAUGGCUGCUGACAGCAUGAGCUCCAUCACUGACAAUCUCAGGAUCCAGCUCCCGCAACCUGGAAUUGGAGAGGCUGAACCCAGUGGGACAGUGGCGUGUAUUCUCCGGCUGAGACAUUAAGGAACAGAUCAGUCAAUCCUGUCUGGAGAUGUGCUCUAAAGGAAACUCAAUGAACAUGCUGUAUGUUUACCGUAAUUACCACAAUAGAUUGACAUAUUGUUUGCCUUUUUUUUCUAAAAGCAAUCUUGAUUCAUAUUUUCUCAUAUAUACAUCUGCUUUUAAUACUCAGUGUUUAUUCACACUCUUGCUCUUACGCUGUAGUUGUGACAUUUACUAUGUUAUUUUGGAUACAGUAUCGACAAGUGUUGGAACUGUAAAUGGGAAAUAAUUAGAUGUUAUUUUCAUUUUUAUUGCUAGUUUUACAAACUGAGAUCAGCACCAACAACACCAACUUGAUUGCAAAGUAUAGCAUAUGCAGAGUUUAUCUAACAUGGGGCACAAGAAAUCUUGUCUAUUGUGUAAAAUAAAAUAAAACACAUGUGAUCAAAAUGACUCAAAGACUAAAAGGAUGACUCAGACACAUGGAAAUGUAAUUUCAUCAUUUGACAUCUGCUAAUUGCAAUCACAAAGAAGCCAUUGUAACCAAGGUGCUGAUGAAUGCAUAUCAAAAAACUCCUCUAUUGACACUGCAUUUCAUUGUGACACAUUGGCAGCCUGUGUUAAUAUCAGUUAACAACCCUGUCAAGAUAUUUAUUCGUAUGAUGAUUUAUAAUUCCAUAUCUUUUGUUGUG